UGGGGCUGCGGGAGUUCGGCUCCCGUAGGUGAAGUCGGGGUGAGGUCUGGCUCCCGUGGGAGUCCGAACGGGGUCUACCUGUAAUUGAAGUCAGGCAAAAUUUGGCUCCCGUGGGAGUCCGGGUGGAGCUUACCAGCGUUCGAAGUCGAGGACGAAGCUCGGCUCCCGUAGGAGUCCGGACGAAGUUUGCCUACAGCCAAAGUUGGAGGAGGAGUCUGGCUCCCGUAAGAGCCCGGAUGGAGUCUUCUUAUGAUCAGAGUCGAGGGAGAAGUCCGGCUCCCGCAGGAGUCCGGACGGAGUUUUAUCAUGAAGGGGCCGCUGGGGAAGGUCUCCCUUUUUCUCAUCUGGUCUUGAAUGACCAGACCUUAAUUGAUGUCGGGGCGAGGUUCUUUCCUUAUUUCUGUCGUAACAAGGUUCAGCUCUGGUUAGGGCGAGGUUCACCUCUUGUCCCUAACACGGCUGUAGGGGCAC
RNAcentral lists this long non-coding RNA (471 nucleotides) under Elaeis guineensis (African oil palm). RNAcentral's name for it is "long non-coding RNA (EGUI_LNC024249)". The record is from RNAcentral. Lineage: Eukaryota; Viridiplantae; Streptophyta; Magnoliopsida; Arecales; Arecaceae.